UGGGGAANUUUCCGCAAUGGGCGAAAGCCUGACGGAGCAAUACCGCGUGAGGGAGGAAUGCCUUUGGGUUGUAAACCUCUUUUCUCAGGGAAGAAGAUCUGACGGUACCUGAGGAAUAAGUAUCGGCUAACUCCGUGCCAGCAGCCGCGGUAAUACGGAGGAUGCAAGCGUUAUCCGGAAUCGUUGGGCGUAAAGCGUCCGCAGGUGGCUUCCAAAGUCUGCUGUUAAAGACUGGAGCUCAACUCCGGAACGGCGGUGGGAACUUGGAAACUAGAGUUCGGUAGGGGUAGCAGGAAUUCCCAGUGUAGCGGUGAAAUGCGUAGAUAUUGGGAAGAACAUCGGUGGCGAAGGCGUGCUACUGGACCGUAACUGACACUCAGGGACGAAAGCUAGGGGAGCGAAAGGGAUUAGAUACCCCUGUAGUCCUAGCUGUAAACGAUGGAAACUAGGUGUGGCUUGA
Molecule: ribosomal RNA, 460 nt
Filed under: uncultured marine microorganism
Description: bacterial SSU rRNA
Rfam family: Bacterial small subunit ribosomal RNA
Source: RNAcentral